This 64-nucleotide transfer RNA is filed under the name Linognathus vituli. Its description in RNAcentral is "tRNA-Pro". The record is from RNAcentral. Lineage: Eukaryota; Metazoa; Arthropoda; Insecta; Psocodea; Linognathidae.
CAGAACAAAGUUUAAAUAACGUUAAUUUUGGAGAUUAAAGAUCUGACAUAGCUCGGGGUUCUGA